This 305-nucleotide ribosomal RNA is filed under the name uncultured bacterium. RNAcentral describes it as "bacterial SSU rRNA". It matches the Rfam family "Bacterial small subunit ribosomal RNA", at positions 337 to 640 of the family's 1533-position model. The record is from RNAcentral.
GCCUACGGGAGGCAGCAGUGAGGAAUAUUGGUCAAUGGUCGGGAGACUGAACCAGCCAAGCCGCGUGAGGGAGGAAGGUACAGAGUAUCGUAAACCUCUUUUGUCAGGGGACAAAGGCGGGGACGUGUCCCCGGAUGAGUGUACCUGAAGAAAAAGCAUCGGCUAACUCCGUGCCAGCAGCCGCGGUAAUACGGAGGAUGCGAGCGUUAUCCGGAUUUAUUGGGUUUAAAGGGUGCGCAGGCGGCCUGUUAAGUCAGCGGUCAAAGCCCGGGGCUCAACCCCGGCCCGCCGUUGAAACUGGCAGU